RNAcentral lists this ribosomal RNA (496 nucleotides) under uncultured bacterium. RNAcentral describes it as "partial 16S ribosomal RNA". It matches the Rfam family "Bacterial small subunit ribosomal RNA", at positions 29 to 507 of the family's 1533-position model. The record is from RNAcentral.
AUGAACGCUGGCGGCGUGCCUAAUACAUGCAAGUCGAGCGAACGGACGAGAAGCUCGCUUCUCUGAUGUUAGCGGCGGACGGGUGAGUAACACGUGGAUAACCUACCUAUAAGACUGGGAUAACUUCGGGAAACCGGAGCUACUACCGGAUAAUAUUUUGAACCGCAUGGUUCAAAGGUGAAAGACGGUCUUGCUGUCACUUAUAGAUGGAUCCGCGCUGCAUUAGCUAGUUGGUAAGGUAACGGCUUACCAAGGCAACGAUGCAUAGCCGACCUGAGAGGGUGAUCGGCCACACUGGAACUGAGACACGGUCCAGACUCCUACGGGAGGCAGCAGUAGGGAAUCUUCCGCAAUGGGCGAAAGCCUGACGGAGCAACGCCGCGUGAGUGAUGAAGGUCUUCGGAUCGUAAAACUCUGUUAUUAGGGAAGAACAUAUGUGUAAGUAACUGUGCACAUCUUGACGGUACCUAAUCAGAAAGCCACGGCUAACUACGUG